Molecule: long non-coding RNA, 990 nt
Filed under: Ornithorhynchus anatinus (platypus)
Lineage: Eukaryota; Metazoa; Chordata; Mammalia; Monotremata; Ornithorhynchidae
Description: lncRNA (ENSOANG00000041361.1)
Source: RNAcentral
UUCUUAGAAUGAAAAUGCAGAAUGUGCUGGGGGAGGGGAGGAUGGAAGGCUAGCCUGGAGGAAUAAAUAGAAGAGGAUAAAGCUCUGGUGGGCCAUUUGUUGGAAGAGUACAGGAUGUACUUGGAAAAUGCUGUGUUGGCCUUUCAAUGCCCCAUUUAAAGAAAACCAAACAAAAAAAAAACAAACAACAUACAGCUCACAUUCAUUUUGCAAGAGUGCCUGAUUCUCCCUUUGAGAAGGUGAAGAUAAGCCCCAUGGGGGAAUCGGGGUAGGCAGAGCAUAUAACUUGUUCUAUUUACUCCCAAAUCAAAUCAGGCCUCAGACAACAAAGCCAGAUGACUAUGAAGGUCAGUGUUAGGAGAAAACUCACCAUUCCUCAUCAAGAUAUAAUCUCUCCUCCUGGACAAUGGGGUUGGGGAAAACUGUCCAGAGAGUGGUCGGAGCCCAGCAGGGAGAGCAGAUCUUCAAAACUGGAGGAAGGCGAGGAAGGAAGAAGUAAAGGAGCCCUGGAGCAGUGUCCUAAAACUGGAGCCAAAUCACCUUAUUCCUACAACCCAUAGUUCCCUUCAGGCAUUACAAACAGCUAUGAAAACAUCUGAGAGUCUUCCCUCCAUAAGCCCCUCAAAUCUUCUUCAAGCCCAUCUGUUGACCCAGGUCUCUUGAUAGAGAAAAACAGCUUUGUCAGAUUCCCUUUCUGGAGUUAUUUUCUUGCCUUAUCUUCCCUCCCCAAGCAUACUCUUUUCAGAAGACUUGGGUUCUAAUUCCUGCUCUGCUAGUGUCUCCUGUGUUACCUUGGGCAAGUCACCUAACUGCUCUAUGCCUCAGUUUCCUCAUCUGGAAAAUGGGGAUUCCAAACUGUUCUUUCUCCUACUUAGACUGUGAGCCCCAUAUGGCAUAGGGACUGUGUCUGACCUGAUUCCCUUGUAUCUAUUCUAGCACUAGAUUAGGACGGGGCUAGAUUAAGACUAGGAGAGUGCUUGACGAAUAGGA